UACGGAGGAUGCGAGCGUUAUCCGGAUUUAUUGGGUUUAAAGGGUGCGUAGGCGGACUGUCAAGUCAGCGGUAAAAUUGAGAGGCUCAACCUCUUCCCGCCGUUGAAACUGGUGGCCUUGAGUGGAAGAGAAGUAUGCGGAAUGCGUGGUGUAGCGGUGAAAUGCAUAGAUAUCACGCAGAACCCCGAUUGCGAAGGCAGCAUGCCGGCUUCCUACUGACGCUGAAGCACGAAAGCGUGGGGAUCGAACAGG
RNAcentral lists this ribosomal RNA (252 nucleotides) under uncultured bacterium. Its description in RNAcentral is "partial 16S ribosomal RNA". It matches the Rfam family "Bacterial small subunit ribosomal RNA", at positions 524 to 776 of the family's 1533-position model. The record is from RNAcentral.